RNAcentral lists this ribosomal RNA (504 nucleotides) under uncultured Cryomorphaceae bacterium. Its description in RNAcentral is "bacterial SSU rRNA". It matches the Rfam family "Bacterial small subunit ribosomal RNA", at positions 523 to 1032 of the family's 1533-position model. Lineage: Bacteria; Pseudomonadati; Bacteroidota; Flavobacteriia; Flavobacteriales; Cryomorphaceae. The record is from RNAcentral.
AUACGGAGGGUGCAAGCGUUAUCCGGAAUCAUUGGGUUUAAAGGGUCCGCAGGCGGACGUAUAAGUCAGUGGUGAAAUCCUGCAGCUUAACUGCAGAACUGCCAUUGAUACUGUACGUCUUGAAUUCGGUCGAAGUGGGCGGAAUGUGUAGUGUAGCGGUGAAAUGCAUAGAUAUUACACAGAACACCGAUAGCGAAGGCAGCUCACUAGGCCUGGAUUGACGCUCAGGGACGAAAGCGUGGGGAUCAAACAGGAUUAGAUACCCUGGUAGUCCACGCUGUAAACGAUGAUUACUCGUUUUCGGCGAUAUACAGUCGGAGACUAAGCGAAAGUGAUAAGUAAUCCACCUGGGGAGUACGAUCGCAAGGUUGAAACUCAAAGGAAUUGACGGGGGCCCGCACAAGCGGUGGAGCAUGUGGUUUAAUUCGAUGAUACGCGAGGAACCUUACCAGGGCUUAAAUGCAGAGCGAAUAGUUUGGAAACAGACUAGCCUUCGGGCGAUCU